Molecule: non-coding RNA, 3090 nt
Organism: Onthophagus taurus
Lineage: Eukaryota; Metazoa; Arthropoda; Insecta; Coleoptera; Scarabaeidae
Source: RefSeq, a predicted model, not a curated record
AUAGGAACUUAGACAACCUUUAAUAUAUAAACCUUGGGAUAAAACUCGUUAGAACCGUUCUUUGAAAAUAACAGAUGGCCGACGUCUUAAGUUGUCAUCAAACUCGUUGAAGAAAAAUAGAGUUAAAUAAAUGAACGUUAUUCAAGAAAACUAAUAAAUCUUUACCCACAAGUUAUGUUAAAUAAGAAAAUAAAAUUAUCAUCCGACUCACUGCGAAAAAGAAAGGAUUGGAGUUCAAUGUGGUAUCUGGAUUAUGGAUUGUCUCUUGUGUUCGGGCACUAACUAAUUUUCUGGAUUGUCUACAGGAUUCUUCUUACGGGAAAUUGAACUGCUUGUUCUUCGGAAAUAGGGUCUUGGAUGAUCUCGAAGAAGUAUCAGUAGUUCUCGGAAUAGGUUGUAGGAUGAUUCUCUUUUUAUUUUAAUAUCACAUACAUUGGAGUACACGCCAAAUUUCAACAAUGAGUAAAGUUAGAAAAAUUCAAAUUUAAAUCAAGGAUUUCUUCCUCAAAAUAACGUUAAAACCUCAAAAGAUGGAUGAAAAAUGUGCUUUAGGAGCUGAACUAUAAUAAUUGAUACUAUUGGAAGCAAACAAAACGGUUUAAGAUAAGAUUUUCAGCAACAAAAAAUCUCUCUGUCACAAUUUCUAGGUUAUGUUCUCUCGGUGAACUAAGAGAAUGUUAAAAUUAUCACAAUACUAAUUAUGCUUUAUUAUAUUAUACUGUUAUAAUUUCACUAUCUCCUAAAAAUUCUACUCGGAAGUAUUUGACAUCUGUUAAUCAAUAGUUAUGUUUAUAAGUCAAUACAACCUUAAAUAGAGUUAAAUAUCGAUGAAAAUGAGUAAUUUUUGGGAGUCGUUCUCUGCAACUUUUGUACAAACAGGGAAAAAUGGUAAUCGAAAACGAGUUCGAUUCAAAAAAGAACAGACGCAGCUACAUAAAGGCCGAAUCAAACAACUACAUCAAAAUACGUGCUUAUAAAAUUGCUUUGUAGUGAAUCAGAUACAAACAAAAUGCCAACAAACAAACAAAAGGAACACUUAUACAAGCACUAACAAAACCAAAAAAAUAAAUGAAUUCUCCCAAUCAACAUGGAUACACGCACACAGCGAUAAAGUGAAGGAACUAAAUAAAGAAUUUUAAUUACAUUUUAUUGUUAUUCCACAAAACAACAUAUACCCCGCUUUGAACUGGCAAUAAAAUUAAAAGAAAACACUUUUGUAUUCAAGAAUUCAGAAUCAAAUACAAUAUUCAUCGGAUAUAAUUUAUAAUGCGAAAACAGAAUUGAGACUUGACCGCAAAGAUCGAUCGCUAUUAUAAAUAUAUUAAUUCCCGCAUAACUAACAAGCUAACACUCAAAGUCGAAAUUAUGCCUCGGAAUGCAAAUGCUGUACAUAAAAUGGUGAAAGGUUAUUUCACGUUGAAAAUAAUUGUAAAUGACGCUCCUCCAGUGACAUUAAUUACGUAUGCGAGAAGUUUAGCUUUUGCCCACACAAUCCAAAACAGGAAUGAAGCAAAAAAAAAACAUAGAAAUAUUAGAUUAAAUGCACUGCAACUUUAACAGAAACGCGUAAAGUAGACGGGAUAGAACAUCGACGAAUUCAACAAACGAAAAAGUUUGAAACAAAUUUUGAUGUUUUGGGUGCCAUCUUGCAACCUUCUUCAGAAGCAAGUUCGAGGUUAACUACCAGGACACAGGUAGGCGAAGAAUAUGAUAAUUCCGUCGCAAAAGAAAACCAAAGAUGUUUUAUCCCUCAGCAAAGAGGACCUAAGGUUGCUCUCAGGUUUCCUGUCCGGCCAUACACCCCUAAAAUACCACCUCUUCAACAUUGGACAAGCUGAAGAGCAAAUUCUAUGAACAUAUUCUAUGUGAAUGUGUCGCCGCAGGGCGCCUAAGACACAACAUUUUCGCCUGAUACCUACUGACAUAAAGGAACAAGACCUUGGAGCAAUACUAAAACAUGUUAAUGUCAAUAGUUUUUUGUCACAAAAAAAAUAAUUUUUAAAUACAUACAACGAUAUUAGAAAGUCCUAUUUAUAAAAACCAAAUAAGACUCUUAUUCGAAGUUUCAAAUGAGGUGGGAUAUGUGAGUUUUCAAGACGUUGAUUAUAAAUGGCUCUAUCAACUGACAGCUAAUCUAUUCAAUAUAGUAGCGUCUUGUAAGUUUAGUGCAGAAACUGGGAAAUCAUUUGGGGUUCAUUGGUUGGGUGAAGCACCGUAUCCAAUUGAUGGAUCACAUGAGUUUCAACAAGAACCCAGGAGUGUUGCUAUGAAUAUUAUCCGUAAGUAGCUUGAUUAUAUGGUCAUUCUGCCGCCCAUUAGUCUUUAUCGCUAAGUCUAACCGAGGUGCUUGGUUCAUGUUUUGCAAUACACGUUGACAGUGAACUGUAGAUCAGUGCAAAUAGAAUAUCUGGAGCGACAAAUCAAAGUCCAACCUAGAACCGUUUGGAUAGUAAGGUCUGGAUCUAGCCUUAGCUGAGAAAACACUUCCUGCCCGAAUGUAUUGUGCCAAUAGUAAAGUUUAGCGGAAUUGGGCUUAUAUAGUUUGGGCAUAUGCUUACUGCAUGUUCGAAGCCCAGAACCCUAUUGAGAACCUCUAGGACUAAUUGGAUAGCCGAGUUAGGAGGUGCAACAAUCAUCCCAAAUCGGCGAAAGAACUUAUGAGUUUUCUCUAAGCCGAGUAGAAGAAAAUAUCAGAAGUCAUCAUACAAAUACUUGAGGAAAGCAUGCUAAGGAGGUUUGACUUUACAUAUAAGUAAAUCCAUUAAAACUAAUUUAUUUAGAAAAGCUCAGGAUUUCCUUCAUAAAAUCAUUAGGUACGUUUACAAUAAAAAUUACGAACAUAUAUUUAUUAGAACAUAGUUUGCAUGUUAUUAAAACAACCCAAAAAGUAUGUUUUUUACCUUUCUAAAAAAUAAAACAACUUGAAAAAGUAAACCCAUUCAUUAUAAAUCCAUUAAGCUUCAAUUGAUGGAACAGCAACCUUUUGGUAAUUUGAAAAUCGAUUUUACCUAUACACGAAUAUUACAGUCCUUAUUCACAAAGUAAUAAAACAUAAAAGAAAUUACGUUGCGCCCUUUUACCGAGGUAAUA